UACGUAGGUGGCGAGCGUUGUCCGGAUUUACUGGGCGUAAAGGGCGCGUAGGCGGCCUUGUAAGUCCUGUGUGAAAUCCCCCGGCUCAACUGGGGAACUGCACAGGAGACUGCUUGGCUUGAGUUCGGGAGAGGGAAGCGGAAUUCCGGGUGUAGCGGUGAAAUGCGUAGAUAUCCGGAGGAACACCGGUGGCGAAGGCGGCUUCCUGGACCGACACUGACGCUGAGGCGCGAAAGCCAGGGGAGCAAACGGG
RNAcentral lists this ribosomal RNA (253 nucleotides) under uncultured bacterium. Its description in RNAcentral is "partial 16S ribosomal RNA". It matches the Rfam family "Bacterial small subunit ribosomal RNA", at positions 524 to 776 of the family's 1533-position model. The record is from RNAcentral.